RNAcentral lists this ribosomal RNA (417 nucleotides) under uncultured bacterium. RNAcentral's name for it is "bacterial SSU rRNA". It matches the Rfam family "Bacterial small subunit ribosomal RNA", at positions 355 to 786 of the family's 1533-position model. The record is from RNAcentral.
UGAGGGAUAUUGGGCAAUGGGGGAAACCCUGACCCAGCGACGCCGCGUGAGGGAAGACGGUCUUCGGAUUGUAAACCUCUGUCUUUGGGGACGAAAAAGGGACGGUACCCAAGGAGGAAGCUCCGGCUAACUACGUGCCAGCAGCCGCGGUAAUACGUAGGGAGCGAGCGUUGUCCGGAAUUACUGGGUGUAAAGGGAGCGUAGGCGGGAAGGCAAGUUGGAUGUGAAAACUGUGGGCUCAACCGACAGACUGCAUUCAAAACUGUUUUUCUUGAGUGAAGUAGAGGCAAGCGGAAUUCCUAGUGUAGCGGUGAAAUGCGUAGAUAUUAGGAGGAACACCAGUGGCGAAGGCGGCUUGCUGGGCUUUUACUGACGCUGAGGCUCGAAAUGUGUGGGGAGCAAACAGGAUUAGAUACC